Molecule: ribosomal RNA, 855 nt
Filed under: Leptogium sp.
Lineage: Eukaryota; Fungi; Ascomycota; Lecanoromycetes; Peltigerales; Collemataceae
Description: partial large subunit ribosomal RNA
Rfam family: Eukaryotic large subunit ribosomal RNA
Source: RNAcentral
GAAAAGAAACCAACAGGGAUUGCCUCAGUAACGGCGAGUGAAGCGGCAAAAGCUCAGAUUUGAAAUCUGGCGUCUUCGGCGUCCGAGUUGUAAUCUGUAGAGGAUGCCUUUGGGUGGCCACCGGUCUAAGUCCCCUGGAACGGGGUGUCACAGAGGGUGAGAAUCCCGUAUGUGACCGGGAAGGCGCCCUAUACAUGGCUCCUUCGACGAGUCGAGUUGUUUGGGAAUGCAGCUCUAAAUGGGAGGUAAAUUCCUUCUAAAGCUAAAUACCGGCCAGAGACCGAUAGCGCACAAGUAGAGUGAUCGAAAGAUGAAAAGCACUUUGGAAAGAGAGUUAAAAAGCACGUGAAAUUGUUGAAAGGGAAGCGCUUGCAACCAGACUUGUUGGCGGUGUUCCGCCGGUCUUCUGACCGGUCUACUCACCGUCUGCAGGCCAGCAUCAUCUGGGGCCGCUGGAUAAAAGCGGAGGGAAUGUGGCUCCUCCGGGAGUGUUAUAGCCCUCUGUGUAAUACAGCGAGUCCCGGGUGAGGUCCGCGCUUCGGCUAGGAUGCUGGCGUAAUGGUCGUAAGCGGCCCGUCUUGAAACACGGACCAAGGAGUCUAACAUCUAUGCGAGUGUUCGGGUGUCAAACCCCUACGCGUAAUGAAAGUGAACGGAGGUGGGAACCUUUUAGGUGCACCAUCGACCGAUCCUGAUGUCUUCGGAUGGAUUUGAGUAAGAGCAUAGCUGUUGGGACCCGAAAGAUGGUGAACUAUGCCUGGAUAGGGUGAAGCCAGAGGAAACUCUGGUGGAGGCUCGCAGCGGUUCUGACGUGCAAAUCGAUCGUCAAAUUUGGGUAUAGGGGCGAAAGACUAA